ACCUAUAGCUAAGCUCUGAUACCAACUUAAUCUGUCACGCCCCGGAUUACACGUUUUCCGAGCACGCCGACAAAUCCGCCGUAUACAAAGAAAUUUUUCCUAUAUACGAAACGAUAGCUGUACCUGUAAAACAUACAAUACUACAAACAGUAGUAUAGAGCUGCCAGAAGAACCAGUAAUUAAAAACAAACUAGUUUCAUAUACAUACGUCAAAUCCAAGAUACAAAACUACUCGCACUGGUGAGUUAAACAUCUGUAUAUACAUAAACUCCAACCAUAAACAACUAGCUGCUGU
RNAcentral lists this long non-coding RNA (295 nucleotides) under Ananas comosus (pineapple). RNAcentral describes it as "long non-coding RNA (ACOM_LNC030333)". Lineage: Eukaryota; Viridiplantae; Streptophyta; Magnoliopsida; Poales; Bromeliaceae. The record is from RNAcentral.